Molecule: ribosomal RNA, 253 nt
Filed under: uncultured bacterium
Lineage: Bacteria
Description: partial 16S ribosomal RNA
Rfam family: Bacterial small subunit ribosomal RNA
Source: RNAcentral
UACGAAGGACCCAAGCGUUAUCCGGAUUUAUUGGGUUUAAAGGGUGCGUAGGCGGAUUAUUAAGUCAGUGGUGAAAGCCUUCAGCUUAACUGAAGAAUUGCCAUUGAUACUGAUGAUCUUGAGUAUGAUUGAGGUGGGCGGGAUGUGUCAUGUAGCGGUGAAAUGCUUAGAUAUGACACAGAACACCGAUUGCGAAGGCAGCUCACUAAGUCAUAACUGACGCUGAUGCACGAAAGCGUGGGGAGCAAACAGG